UGAAAGUGAAGUCGCUCAGUCAUGUCUGACUCUCAGCGACCCCAUGGACUGCAGCCUACCAGGCUCCUCUGCCCGUGGGAUUUUCCAGGCAAGAGUACUGGAGUGGGGUGGCCUUCUCCGAUGAUGCAUUUUCCUUACUGCCAAAAAGACCCUGAGCACAUCAGGGGAAGCCAGCUGUCAUGUUUUGGGGACAUUAAUGCAUCCAAUGGAGUGGUUCUAUGUGGAGAAGAGAGCAACUGAAGAGUCUGGCAGCAACCAGUGAGGAAGCAAGAUCUGCCGCCAACCACAUGUGUGAACUUGGAACAGGAUCCUCUCCCAGUUGAGUCUUCUGAUGAGGCUCUGGACCCAGCUGUCUGAAACUGCAUGAGGCUGUGAGCCAGAACCAUCUAGUUAAGCUCUUUCCAGAUUCCUGACCUGCAGAAGCUAUGAGCUAACAUCUGUUGUCUUAACCUUCAUUUGUAUCUGCACUCCCAGAUUCAUUGCAGCAUUAUUCAUAAUAACAGAGAUGUGAAAACAAACCAAGUGUCCAUGACAGAUGGGUAGAUAAAGAAAAUGUAGUCUAUGCUAUGUACAAUGGAACAUUAUUCAGCUUUAAAAUCAAAGGAAAUUCUGCCAUUUGCAACAAUGUGGAUAAAUCGGAGGACAUUAUGCUAAGUGAAAUCAGCCAGUCACAGAUAGACAAAUACCUCCUGAUUCCACUUAUAUGAGAUACCUAUAGUAGUCAAACUCACAGAAGCCGAGAAUACAGUAGAGGUUACCAGGGACUGGGGGAUGGUGGAGAUGGCAAGUUGUUAUUCAGUGACUCACUUCACGGGAAAUAGAGGGGGAAACAGUGGAAACAGUGUCAGACUUUAUUUUUUGGGGCUCCAAAAUCACUGAAGAUGGUGACUGCAGCCAUGAAAUUAAAAGACACUUGCUCCU
This is a long non-coding RNA of Bubalus bubalis (water buffalo), 921 nucleotides long. RefSeq lists it as uncharacterized. The transcript is spliced from 3 exons. NCBI's taxonomy places the organism in Eukaryota, Metazoa, Chordata, Mammalia, Artiodactyla, Bovidae. The record is from RefSeq and is a predicted model, not a curated record.